Long non-coding RNA from Varroa destructor (honeybee mite), 441 nucleotides. NCBI's taxonomy places the organism in Eukaryota, Metazoa, Arthropoda, Arachnida, Mesostigmata, Varroidae. The record is from RefSeq and is a predicted model, not a curated record.
AGAUUGCCCAACGCGCGCCGUGAAGUUGCUUCCUUCCGCAACCGUUACAGGUUCUGAGAUUAAUGAUGAUGUUUCUAAUCGUGGUCGCUGCUUUUGGGGCCAUGGCGACUGCUACGGACGUGGGCACCCCGAAAGAAGUUGAUCCUUCAAGUACACCCGUUUCUAAGGAGAUCAUCGCCAAAGCUCAGAAGCUCGGCAAGGCGAAUAACGUCGAGAUCAGAAACUACACUGUUAAUUCUUCGACAAGGUACCCCUUGCAUCGAGCAGAACUUGUUGUGGAUGGCCAGCAGUGUACCAUGACAGCCAGCGAAGAGCACCCUGUCAAAUUUUUGAAGGGUGAUAAAAAUUGCAUUCUCUGUUGUUAAACUGAUAUAUACCAAUGGACAGCGGUAAAUAUUAUAAAAUGUUAAUAAAACUAACAUGGUUUUCCUUAUGUAUUGA